UUUCAUGCGCCUCUUUAAUCACGUGGAAACAGCUUCCUCUCUCUAAUACCGAUCACGUCCUAAUUUUGAAUUAACUCUCCAAUAUUAGCCAGAUUCUUCAUAAUUUACAACAAAUUGUUUUUUUUUCUGUGAAUGUUUGUAGUGGAAAAAGUUUGUUUAGGCUAUGUUGUGAAGGGCAGGUCCACACACACACACACACACACACAUAGGCGGCGGCUGUUAUUGAUCACAGUGCGCGAAGCAGGAAUCCGAAGAAAUGUGGUGAUGCAGCAAGUGCAGUUGUGCUGGAUCAGCCGGUUUGUUCUCUGUUUACAUACAUUUGGGUUUACCUCAUGGCAGCCACAACAUGUUUCCUUCGAUCCUAGGACCUCAGAUUUCAAGAAAGUCACGGAGUGGCACGCUGCACCAUAA
RNAcentral lists this long non-coding RNA (411 nucleotides) under Sinocyclocheilus grahami. RNAcentral describes it as "lncRNA (ENSSGRG00000017058.1)". The record is from RNAcentral. Lineage: Eukaryota; Metazoa; Chordata; Actinopteri; Cypriniformes; Cyprinidae.